RNAcentral lists this unclassified non-coding RNA (271 nucleotides) under plant metagenome. RNAcentral describes it as "partial contains small subunit ribosomal RNA, internal transcribed spacer 1, and 5.8S ribosomal RNA". The record is from RNAcentral.
UUUCCGUAGGUGAACCUGCGGAAGGAUCAUUAAUGAGUUGUCAUGGGGUUCGAUGCUGGCAGCCAGUUUUUGGAUGCAUGUGCUUGCCCUAACAAUCAUCUUCUUCCAAACACCUGUGCACAUUUUUGAGGAGUCUUGAGUUGGUUGCCGCUCUUGGGUGAUUUUCUCACAUUCCCUUAAAUCAUUAUACGCUAUUAACAAUGUUGAACGUGCUCUGUGCCGCAAGGCCAUUAAUAUAAUACAACUUUUAACAACGGAUCUCUUGGCUCUC